UCCAGACUCCUACGGGAGGCAGCAGUGGGGAAUAUUGCACAAUGGGGGAAACCCUGAUGCAGCGACGCCGCGUGAGGGAAGAAGGUUUUCGGAUUGUAAACCUCUGUCUUCGGUGACGAAACGAGACGGUAGCCGAGGAGGAAGCCCCGGCUAACUACGUGCCAGCAGCCGCGGUAAUACGUAGGGGGCAAGCGUUAUCCGGAUUUACUGGGUGUAAAGGGAGCGUAGGCGGUGAUGCAAGUCAGAAGUGAAAGCCCGCAGCUCAACUGCGGGGCUGCUUUUGAAACUGUAUGACUAGAUUGCAGGAGAGGUAAGUGGAAUUCCUAGUGUAGCG
RNAcentral lists this ribosomal RNA (334 nucleotides) under uncultured bacterium. RNAcentral's name for it is "bacterial SSU rRNA". It matches the Rfam family "Bacterial small subunit ribosomal RNA", at positions 330 to 680 of the family's 1533-position model. The record is from RNAcentral.